UGAGCAACCUGCCCUUGGCUUCGGGAUAACUCCGGGAAACCGGGGCUAAUACCGGAUGUGACACGCCCGCGCAUGGGGGUGUGUGGAAAGAUUUAUUGGCCAGGGAUGGGCUCGCGGCCUAUCAGCUUGUUGGUGGGGUGAUGGCCUACCAAGACGACGACGGGUAGCCGGCCUGAGAGGGUGACCGGCCACACUGGGACUGAGACACGGCCCAGACUCCUACGGGAGGCA
RNAcentral lists this ribosomal RNA (231 nucleotides) under uncultured bacterium. Its description in RNAcentral is "partial 16S ribosomal RNA". It matches the Rfam family "Bacterial small subunit ribosomal RNA", at positions 118 to 350 of the family's 1533-position model. The record is from RNAcentral.